AUAGAAAGGUUAUCCAACGCAUCGGAACAACAUUCUUAUAUCAUGGGAUAUCAACAUCUUUGUCGACGUUACUUCGUUCCCCGUUUUUUACCUGUCUCUUCCUAAUUUUUACUUUACAUGCUUUAUGCAUUUAUGCAUGCAUGGAUAUUUCAUUGUUAUUCUACUUGUUUGGAUUGGAUUUACUAUUCUUUUUCCGCAGAAUAUUCUAACGAAAAUUGUACAGUUGUACAGUGUCCGGAUAUGUACGA
RNAcentral lists this long non-coding RNA (248 nucleotides) under Mytilus galloprovincialis (Mediterranean mussel). Lineage: Eukaryota; Metazoa; Mollusca; Bivalvia; Mytilida; Mytilidae. The record is from RNAcentral.